This 497-nucleotide ribosomal RNA is filed under the name uncultured bacterium. RNAcentral's name for it is "partial 16S ribosomal RNA". It matches the Rfam family "Bacterial small subunit ribosomal RNA", at positions 28 to 507 of the family's 1533-position model. The record is from RNAcentral.
GAUGAACGCUGGCGGCGUGCCUAAUACAUGCAAGUCGAGCGAACAGACGAGGAGCUUGCGCCUCUGACGUUAGCCGCGGACGGGUGAGUAACACGUGGAUCACCUACCUAUAAGACUGGUAUAACCUCGGGAAACCGGAGCUAAUACCGUAUAAGAUAUUGAACCGUAUGGGUCAAUAGUGAAAUACGGUUUUGCUGGCACGUAUAGCUGGAUCCGCGCCGCAUUAGCUAGUUGUUAAGGUAACGGCUUAUCACGGCAAGGAUGCGUAGCCGACCUGAGAGAGGGGUCGGCCGCACUGGAGCGGGGCCGCGGACAAGAGUACUACGAGAGGGAGCAGUAGGGAAUGUGCCGCAGUAGGCGGGAACUUGGCGGAGCAGGCGCGCGUGAGUGAUGGAAGUCUUGGGAUCGUAAAGAUCUGUUAUUAGGGGAGAACAAAUGUGUAAGUAACUAUGCACGUCUUGACGGUACCGAAUCAGAAAGCCACGGCUAACUACGUG